RNAcentral lists this ribosomal RNA (738 nucleotides) under Sarcocystis cruzi. RNAcentral's name for it is "SSU rRNA". It matches the Rfam family "Eukaryotic small subunit ribosomal RNA", at positions 194 to 898 of the family's 1831-position model. The record is from RNAcentral. Lineage: Eukaryota; Apicomplexa; Conoidasida; Eucoccidiorida; Sarcocystidae.
AAGAGGAUAGUGUUUAUUAGAUACAGAACCAAUACACCAUCUGUUUAUCAGGUGGUGUAAAAAAGGUGAUUCAUAGUAACCGAACGGAUCGCAUUAUGGUCAUUUUAUAUGGCUGGCGAUAGAUCAUUCAAGUUUCUGACCUAUCAGCUUUCGACGGUAGUGUAUUGGACUACCGUGGCAGUGACGGGUAACGGGGAAUUAGGGUUCGAUUCCGGAGAGGGAGCCUGAGAAACGGCUACCACAUCUAAGGAAGGCAGCAGGCGCGCAAAUUACCCAAUCCUGACUCAGGGAGGUAGUGACAAGAAAUAACAACACUGGAAAUUUUAUUUCUAGUGAUUGGAAUGAUGGGAAUUUAAACCCCUUUCAGAGUAACAAUUGGAGGGCAAGUCUGGUGCCAGCAGCCGCGGUAAUUCCAGCUCCAAUAGCGUAUAUUAAAGUUGUUGCAGUUAAAAAGCUCGUAGUUGGAUGUCUGCUGGAAGCAAUCAGUCCGCCCUAUUUGUAGGGUGUGCACUUGAUGAAUUCUGGCAUCUAUGUCCCAAUAAUGUGGUGGUGUAUACCCUGUGUAUUACCCAUCUAUAUUGGGAUAAUACCGUUACUUUGAGAAAAUUAGAGUGUUUGAAGCAGGCUAAUUGCCUUGAAUACUGCAGCAUGGAAUAACAAUAUAGGAUUUCGGUUCUAUUUUGUUGGUUUCUAGGACUGAAAUAAUGAUUAAUAGGGACAGUUGGGGGCAUUCGUAUU